Sinocyclocheilus anshuiensis is the source of this 195-nucleotide long non-coding RNA. RefSeq lists it as uncharacterized. The record is from RefSeq and is a predicted model, not a curated record. The transcript is spliced from 3 exons. NCBI's taxonomy places the organism in Eukaryota, Metazoa, Chordata, Actinopteri, Cypriniformes, Cyprinidae.
GUGUGGCGCAACCAGAAAACCAGGCGUGGAAUAACGUGGGCGGGAUUUCAUUCAAGAUUUUUGCAGACAGUUGUGCAACAUAUUCAGUGGACAUAGUGAUGACUGUUGGAUUUGGUGCCUUAACUGCAAAUUUAAAGAAAGGAGGUCAGAGCCUAAUCAACACUGAGCUGUGACGGAAAACAUCAAAGCAGGGAA